Molecule: ribosomal RNA, 254 nt
Filed under: uncultured bacterium
Lineage: Bacteria
Description: partial 16S ribosomal RNA
Rfam family: Bacterial small subunit ribosomal RNA
Source: RNAcentral
GUCCUGGCUGUAACGGUGCGCGUUGGUGUGAGAAGGUUCGACCCUUUGCGCCGGAGCUAACGCGUUAAACGCGCCGCCUGGGAAGUACGGUCGCAAGACUAAACUCAAGAAUUGACGGGCCCGCACAAGCGGUGGAGUAUGUGGCUUAAUUCGAUGCAACGCGAAACCUUACCUGGACUUGACAUGCAUUGCUAAGGAAUGAAAUUUCCGAUGAUAGCAAUAUCAACCUUGCACAGGUGCUGCAUGGCUGUCGU